UCAAACCCAAGCUGUGUUGGUUCCUUGCGCUCGUCGGGCAAGAGGAUCAAAAGGGAACACGGUGCGGAUUACCCAUCAGGGGCCAAAACCGGGACUGCCCCCGCAACUGUAAGCGGCAAGCUUUCGCCACACGCCACUGAUCCCCACGGGAUCGGGAAGGCGGCGCAAGCGCUCAAGAUGCCGCCAGUCAGGAGACCUGCCAGCACGAAGGGGCAUUU
RNAcentral lists this non-coding RNA (218 nucleotides) under Devosia limi. Lineage: Bacteria; Pseudomonadati; Pseudomonadota; Alphaproteobacteria; Hyphomicrobiales; Devosiaceae. The record is from RNAcentral. RNAcentral also lists the same sequence under 1 other name.